UUGAAAAUGAUCUUAAAUUUUGAACCGGAAGGACAAAAGCGUCAGACACAUCCCACCAAGAACAAAAAAGAAUUUUUACUCUCUGAGACACUUUAUGUCUUUAGAUUUACAGUCUAAGACACUUACUACAUGUGACAACCUUUCUUUUUAGUCAAUGUCUUUUAUGUCCUUAUUCCUUUGGAAAGUAAAAAAAAAAAUAAAACCAAUCAGAGCUUAUCGGUUUACAUAAUGUACCAACCCCUCUCUAAUUCGAACUCACAACCCUAUUUUCUUAUUCUAAAAUCGCAGCCUCUCUAAAAACAUCCCUUUUGCGACGAUUUUUUAGAAUCCUAGAUUUGAUUCUUCACUCUCUCCUUCCAUUCUUACCUUCGUAACACCGCCAAGCUCUUGCUUCUCAAUCAAUCCGUCUCUGUCAGUCUUCUCAGUCUUCCAUUGUCGCCUCCGUAACCCCGCCGCUCUCACGAAUCAACACCACCGUUCUCGGUCCCUCCGGUUCAAAUCAUGCGCAAAGUAACAACCAACCGGACCACCGCUUCCCAUCGAGACUAUUCGCCACCGACUGGUUUUGCUAGUGGACGGCUCAACAACCAACCGACCACACUUUUACCGUCCACAACUCUCCAAUACACAGCUCCCCUAUCCACAACACACUCAUCCACAAGGAAACCCCCUUCCAUCUAACUCCAACUACUCCCACAUCUCUUCGGCCACAGGUUCCAUAUACCUGCUUACUACGGUCGAGCUUAUGCUUUUCGCUUUCCACCUUCAAGUUGGCUUUUGUGUUUUUGUGGUUGAUACCCACAACCAAUAUAAUAUGUUAAACCUAUCUCUGUAUACUUUCUUUAGGAUUUGUAAUAUGUUAACGAUCAGCACUAGCCAUAUUCUAUAUUUUUUUCCUGAACA
This is a long non-coding RNA of Brassica napus (rape), 903 nucleotides long. RefSeq lists it as uncharacterized. The record is from RefSeq and is a predicted model, not a curated record. NCBI's taxonomy places the organism in Eukaryota, Viridiplantae, Streptophyta, Magnoliopsida, Brassicales, Brassicaceae. The transcript has 2 exons.